This 69-nucleotide small nucleolar RNA is filed under the name Mesitornis unicolor (brown roatelo). Its description in RNAcentral is "Small nucleolar RNA SNORD82". It matches the Rfam family "Small nucleolar RNA SNORD82". Rfam says of the family: snoRNA U82 or Z25 is found in both humans and mice. The record is from Rfam by way of RNAcentral. Lineage: Eukaryota; Metazoa; Chordata; Aves; Mesitornithiformes; Mesitornithidae.
AGCACAGUGAUGACUAUAUGGGACUUAAUACUGAAGUAUGAUGUCACUUUUGAGCAGAAACUGAUGUGC